Molecule: ribosomal RNA, 443 nt
Filed under: uncultured bacterium
Lineage: Bacteria
Description: partial 16S ribosomal RNA
Rfam family: Bacterial small subunit ribosomal RNA
Source: RNAcentral
CCUACGGGAGGCAGCAGUGGGGGAUAUUGGACAAUGGGGGGAACCCUGAUCCAGCGACGCCGCGUGAGUGAAGAAGUAUUUCGGUAUGUAAAGCUCUGUCAGCAGGGAAGAAAGAAAUGACGGUACCUGACCAAGAAGCCCCGGCUAACUACGCGCCAGCAGCCGCGGUAAUACGUAGGGGGCAAGCGUUAUCCGGAAUUACUGGGUGUAAGGGGAGCGUAGACGGUUAAGUAAGUCUGAAGUGAAAGGCCGGGGCCCAACCCCGGGACUGCUCUGGAAACUAUUGAACUUGAGUGUAGGAGAGGUAAGCGGAAUUCCUAGUGUAGCGGUGAAAUGCGUAGAUAUUAGGAGGAACACCAGUGGCGAAGGCGGCUUACUGGACUGUAACUGACGUUGAGGCUCGAAAGCGUGGGGAGCAAACAGGAUUAGAUACCCUAGUAGUC